ACCUAUGAACAACAGAUGAUUCAUGUACAGAAAAACUAGACCAUGACAAACAGAAGGAAGAUAGUUUAAAUCUACAAACCAACCACUGUUCGACAUUCAUAGUUAGAAAGAGUGCCCCACAAAGCUGUCCCAAUUUCUCUAGAAACGUGUAAACUUCGCAUUGUCAGAUUACAUGUCAAAAACCUAAAAUGUAAGAUAACAGAAGUAUGAAUGGAUAAGAACACUUAUGGGCUAUGGCCAGACUUUUCACAUAUAAUCACCAAGAAAUCAAGAGAGAAAAAAUAAACCUUGUACACUUAAUAAUACACAAAAUAUGGUUAUAUAUCUGUUGUCAAUAGCGGCCGAACGCGGCGCGAUCGCGGCGCGGAGCGGCUAAAAACAACAAAGCGCGACGCAGCGCUCCAACGCGGAGCAUUUGGAGAAAGCGGAUGAAGCGGGCGCAAUUGCGGGCAAAAGCGGGCGCGAUGCGGGUCAAAGCGGGCGCAUUUGACAACCCUGUGUAAAAUACUAGAUUUCCCUUCAUUUAAAACCGUUUUAAGGGUCAUUUUUGUAAUUUUCAAAACCCUAACUAUUACUCUUCUCCACCAGAACCAAAUACACAGCCACAAACUCAACUUCUUCAUCGUACCAACAAAAAAAAUCCAUCUCCUCUUCUCAUCAUCUCAGAACCCAUCUUUGUUCUCCUCUCUUCAUCUAUUGAUUUCAGAAUUUGUUAAUUUGUCAAUUUGUUAGUUGUUAAUUGUUAAUUUGUUAAUUUGUUAAUUGGGAGGAUGAAUUUGUUAAUUGUUGAUGUUUUGCACUUUUGUUACUUUAAGCUUUAGAGGCGUAAAGUGUCGGUUUCCUUGACUUUUAUUAGUAUUUUUUUGCAAAUAUGUUUUAUGUUUUGCUAGACUUUUGACUUUUAUUUCAAAUUAGGAAUACUUCAUGAUUUUGAGUAUAGUAUUUUAAUAUUAAAUAUAUUAGUGUCCAUGUCACCGAAAUAGCGCCCGCUACGCGCCCGCACCUCGCGCCGCGUCAAUUUUUGGUUCCGCUUUGACAACAGAGGGUUAUUUUAAGAUACAUUACACUGCAGAGAAAAGGUUUUAAUUCACAAUUCCACCAGAGAUGAUUAUCAUGUAUCAAGUUUUGCAAAACAUUACCAUUUUCUGAGACUCAAUUGGAAACAUCCAAAACAGAAAAUUCAUAUCAGAACUCCAGCUAUGUUUCCAAGUUCCACAAAACAUUACUGUUACCUUAAACGCAAAACAACAUCUGUCUAUGAAGAAUAAUAUUUGUUGUAACAUAGGAAUUAGAGAACAAUCAAUUGGAACCCAAACAAUCUGAACAAUCAGAUCAUCAAAAUAAGAACUCCAAACGUCAAGAUACCGAAUAAUCAUAUGAGUAUCAAACAAGAGAAUGAUAGAUAGAACCGUAAGAAAUCAUAUGUACACAGAUUAUUGCUCUUGCAACACCAAAGAAUAACGAAUCAAGAAAUAUUCAUACUUGAGUAGUUAAAGAAAUAUUGAAAGCAAAAAGAAU
This 1518-nucleotide long non-coding RNA is filed under the name Medicago truncatula (barrel medic). Its description in RNAcentral is "long non-coding RNA (MTRU_LNC007343)". Lineage: Eukaryota; Viridiplantae; Streptophyta; Magnoliopsida; Fabales; Fabaceae. The record is from RNAcentral.